CACUCCUACGGGAGGCAGCAGUGGGGAAUUUUGGACAAUGGGCGAAAGCCUGAUCCAGCAAUGCCGCGUGAGUGAAGAAGGCCUUCGGGUUGUAAAGCUCUUUUGUCAGGGAAGAAACGGUGAAAGCUAAUAUCUUUUGCUAAUGACGGUACCUGAAGAAUAAGCACCGGCUAACUACGUGCCAGCAGCCGCGGUAAUACGUAGGGUGCAAGCGUUAAUCGGAAUUACUGGGCGUAAAGCGUGCGCAGGCGGUUUUGUAAGUCUGAUGUGAAAUCCCCGGGCUCAACCUGGGAAUUGCAUUGGAGACUGCAAGGCUAGAAUCUGGCAGAGGGGGGUAGAAUUCCACGUGUAGCAGUGAAAUGCGUAGAUAUGUGGAGGAACACCGAUGGCGAAGGCAGCCCCCUGGGUCAAGAUUGACGCUCAUGCACGAAAGCGUGGGGAGCAAACAGGAUUAGAUACCCGGGUAGUCCCA
RNAcentral lists this ribosomal RNA (472 nucleotides) under uncultured organism. RNAcentral's name for it is "partial 16S ribosomal RNA". It matches the Rfam family "Bacterial small subunit ribosomal RNA", at positions 334 to 797 of the family's 1533-position model. The record is from RNAcentral.